AUUAAAUCUAAACCUAGCUGUGAUGGUUUCUUGUUUCUUUGCAGGAUGUAUUUUGUUUUGCUUGUUAAACAAGUAACUCUACAAAUCGGAAAACGUGCCUUGUCAGUAUACCCCAGAUGGAGUUUUGCUCUUGUUGCCCAAGCUGGAGUGCAAUGGCGUGAUCUCAGCUUACUGCAACCUCUGCCUCCUGGGUUCAAGCAAUUCUCC
This 207-nucleotide long non-coding RNA is filed under the name Homo sapiens (human). RNAcentral describes it as "PREDICTED lncRNA (TCONS_00237403)". Lineage: Eukaryota; Metazoa; Chordata; Mammalia; Primates; Hominidae. The record is from RNAcentral.